GAUAAACGCUGGCGGCGUGCUUAACACAUGCAAGUCGAACGAAGUUUUUCCUUCGGGAGAAACUUAGUGGCGGACGGGUGAGUAACGCGUGGGUAACCUGCCCUGUACAGGGGGACAACAGCUGGAAACGGCUGCUAAUACCGCAUAAGCACUUAGCACUGCAUGGUGCAUAGGGAAAAGGAGCAAUCCGGUACAGGAUGGACCCGCGUCUGAUUAGCCAGUUGGCAGGGUAACGGCCUACCAAAGCGACGAUCAGGAGCCGAUCUGAGAGGAUGUACGGCCACAUUGGGACUGAGACACGGCCCAGACUCCUACGGGAGGCAGCAGUGGGGAAUAUUGCACAAUGGAGGAAACUCUGAUGCAGCGAUGCCGCGUGAGUGAAGAAGUAUUUCGGUAUGUAAAGCUCUAUCAGCAGGGAAGAAAAUGACGGUACCUGACUAAGAAGCACCGGCUAAAUACGUG
RNAcentral lists this ribosomal RNA (462 nucleotides) under uncultured bacterium. Its description in RNAcentral is "partial 16S ribosomal RNA". It matches the Rfam family "Bacterial small subunit ribosomal RNA", at positions 28 to 507 of the family's 1533-position model. The record is from RNAcentral.